RNAcentral lists this ribosomal RNA (381 nucleotides) under uncultured eukaryote. Its description in RNAcentral is "partial 18S ribosomal RNA". It matches the Rfam family "Eukaryotic small subunit ribosomal RNA", at positions 592 to 976 of the family's 1831-position model. The record is from RNAcentral.
CAAUAGCGUAUAUUAAAGUUGUUGCGGUAAAAAAGCUCGUAGUUGGAUUUCUACCGAAGAUAGCCGGUCGGGUCUUCGACCUUGUAUCUGGUUUUGUCUUUGGUAUCCUCAUAGGGAACGUUUCUGCGCUUUAUUGCGUGGUGCGGUAUCUAUGACUUUUACUUUGAGGAAAUUAGAGUGUUCACGGCAGGCAAACGCCUUGAAUAUAUUAGCGUGGAAUAAUAACAUAGGAUCUUCGUCCUAUUUUGUUGGUUUCUAGGGCUAAGAUAAUGAUUAAUAGGGAUAAUUGGGGGCAUCUGUAUCAACGCGUCAGAGGUGGAAUUCUUGGAUUGCGUUGCGACAAACUACUGCGAAAGCAUUUGCCAAGGAUGUUUUCAUUGA